AGUGAACGCUGGCGGUAGGCCUAACACAUGCAAGUCGAACGGCAGCACAGGAGAGCUUGCUCUCUGGGUGGCGAGUGGCGGACGGGUGAGGAAUACAUCGGAAUCUACUCUGUCGUGGGGGAUAACGUAGGGAAACUUACGCUAAUACCGCAUACGACCUACGGGUGAAAGCAGGGGACCUUCGGGCCUUGCGCGAUUGAAUGAGCCGAUGUCGGAUUAGCUAGUUGGCGGGGUAAAGGCCCACCAAGGCGACGAUCCGUAGCUGGUCUGAGAGGAUGAUCAGCCAGACUGGAACUGAAACACGGUCCAGACUCCUACGGGAGGCAGCAGUGGGGAAUAUUGGACAAUGGGCGCAAGCCUGAUCCAGCCAUACCGCGUGGGUGAAGAAGGCCUUCGGGUUGUAAAGCCCUUUUGUUGGGAAAGAAAUCCAGCUGGCUAAUACCCGGUUGGGAUGACGGUACCCAAAGAAUAAGCACCGGCUAACUUCGUGCCAGCCGCCGCAGUAA
This 506-nucleotide ribosomal RNA is filed under the name uncultured bacterium. RNAcentral's name for it is "partial 16S ribosomal RNA". It matches the Rfam family "Bacterial small subunit ribosomal RNA", at positions 29 to 523 of the family's 1533-position model. The record is from RNAcentral.